CCUACGGGUGGCAGCAGUGAGGAAUAUUGGUCAAUGGCCGCAACUCUGAACCAGCCAAGCCGCGUGAAGGACGACGGCCCCAUGGGUUGUAAACUGCUUUUAUGCGGGGAUAAACUGAGUCACGUGUGGCUGAUUGCAGGUACCGCAUGAAUAAGCACCGGCUAAUUCCGUGCCAGCAGCCGCGGUAAUACGGAAGGUCCGGGCGUUAUCCGGAUUUAUUGGGUUUAAAGGGAGCGCAGGCGGGCCUUUAAGCGUGUGGGUAAAGGCCGCGGCUCAACCGGGGCAGUGCCGUGGAAACUGGCGGGCUUGAGUGGGCCGGAGGUAGGCGGAAUGCGUGGUGUAGCGGUGAAAUGCUUAGAUAUCGCGAAGAACUCCGAUUGCGAAGGCAGCCUACCGUCGCGGUACUGACGCUGAGGCUCGAAGGCGUGGGUAUCGAACAGGAUUAGAUACCCGUGUAGUC
Molecule: ribosomal RNA, 460 nt
Filed under: uncultured bacterium
Lineage: Bacteria
Description: partial 16S ribosomal RNA
Rfam family: Bacterial small subunit ribosomal RNA
Source: RNAcentral